RNAcentral lists this ribosomal RNA (254 nucleotides) under uncultured bacterium. Its description in RNAcentral is "partial 16S ribosomal RNA". It matches the Rfam family "Bacterial small subunit ribosomal RNA", at positions 524 to 776 of the family's 1533-position model. The record is from RNAcentral.
UACGUAGGGGGCAAGCGUUGUCCGGAUUUAUUGGGCGUAAAGAGCUCGUAGGUGGUUCGGUAAGUCAGGUGUGAAACCUCCAGGCUCAACCUGGAGACGCCACUUGAUACUGCUGUGACUGGAGUCCGGUAGGGGAGCGUGGAAUUCCUGGUGUAGCGGUGAAAUGCGCAGAUAUCAGGAGGAACACCAGCGGCGAAGGCGGCGCUCUGGGCUGGAACUGACGCUGAGGAGCGAAAGCGUGGGGAGCAAACAGG